CCCACGGCUUACGCCGUGGGCUGUAUUCUUGUGCCGCUUCGCGGCU
Molecule: non-coding RNA, 46 nt
Organism: Cyanobacteria bacterium 13_1_20CM_4_61_6
Lineage: Bacteria; Bacillati; Cyanobacteriota
Source: Rfam